UUCAAGCCAACUGGAGAGAGGUUGUUGCGACAACCCACCGAAGGGGCAAGCGGCGUAAGCGGCGUAAACUCUCAGGUAAACGGACAGAGGGAGGGGC
This 97-nucleotide non-coding RNA is filed under the name Brenneria goodwinii. Its description in RNAcentral is "Glycine sequence". It matches the Rfam family "Glycine riboswitch aptamer". From Rfam's summary of the family: This family represents the bacterial glycine riboswitch. Lineage: Bacteria; Pseudomonadati; Pseudomonadota; Gammaproteobacteria; Enterobacterales; Pectobacteriaceae. The record is from Rfam by way of RNAcentral.